RNAcentral lists this ribosomal RNA (226 nucleotides) under uncultured bacterium. RNAcentral describes it as "partial 16S ribosomal RNA". It matches the Rfam family "Bacterial small subunit ribosomal RNA", at positions 109 to 334 of the family's 1533-position model. The record is from RNAcentral.
AGUAACGCGUGAGGAACCUGCCUCAAAGAGGGGGACAACAGUUGGAAACGACUGCUAAUACCGCAUAAGCCCACAGCUCGGCAUCGAGCAGAGGGAAAAGGAGUGAUCCGCUUUGAGAUGGCCUCGCGUCCGAUUAGCUGUUGGUGAGGUAACGGCCCACCAAGGCGACGAUCGGUAGCCGGACUGAGAGGUUGAACGGCCACAUUGGGACUGAGACACGGCCCAG